RNAcentral lists this ribosomal RNA (492 nucleotides) under uncultured bacterium. Its description in RNAcentral is "partial 16S ribosomal RNA". It matches the Rfam family "Bacterial small subunit ribosomal RNA", at positions 29 to 507 of the family's 1533-position model. The record is from RNAcentral.
AGUGAACGCUGGCGGUAGGCCUAACACAUGCGAGUCGAACGGCAGCACAGUAAGAGCUUGCUCUUACGGGUGGCGAGUGGCGGACGGGUGAGGAAUACAUCGGAAUCUACUUUUUCGGGGGGGAUAACGUAGGGAAACUUAUGCUAAUACCGCAUACGACCUACGGGUGAAAGCAGGGGAGCUUGGGACCUUGCGCGAUUGAAUGAGCCGAUGUCGGAUUAGCUAGUUGGCGGGGUAAAGGCUCACCAAGGCGACGAUCCGUAGCUGGUCUGAGAGGAUGAUCAGCCACACUGGAACUGAGACACGGUCCAGACUCCUACGGGAGGCAGCAGUGGGGAAUAUUGCACAAUGGGCGCAAGCCUGAUCCAGCCAUACCGCGUGAGUGAAGAAGGCCUUCGGGUUGUAAAGCCCUUUUGUUGGGAAAGAAAAGCAGCAGGUUAAUACCCCGCUGUUCUGACGGUACCCAAAGAAUAAGCACCGGCUAACUUCGUG